CCUACGGGUGGCAGCAGUGAGGAAUAUUGGUCAAUGGCCGUAAGCCUGAACCAGCCAAGUCGCGUGAGGGAUGACGGUCCUAUGGAUCGUAAACCUCUUUUAUAAGGGAAGAAAAAGUGCGACGUGUCCUAUGUUGUAUGUACCUUAUGAAUAAGCAUCGGCUAACUCCGUGCCAGCAGCCGCGGUAAUACGGAGGAUCCGAGCGUUAUCCGGAUUUAUUGGGUUUAAAGGGUGCGUAGGCGGUCUUUAAGUCAACUGGGAAAAUAUGGGGGUUAACCAUAGAUUUGCCGUUGAAACUGGGAGGCUCGAGUACGGUCGAGGCAGGCGGAAUGAGUGGAGUAGCGGUGAAAUGCUUAGAUAUCACGCAGAACCCCGAUAGCGAAGGCAGCCUGCCAAGCCAUGACUGACGCUGAUGCACGAAAGCGUGGGGAGCAAACAGGAUUAGAUACCCCUGUAGUC
This 459-nucleotide ribosomal RNA is filed under the name uncultured bacterium. RNAcentral describes it as "partial 16S ribosomal RNA". It matches the Rfam family "Bacterial small subunit ribosomal RNA", at positions 338 to 795 of the family's 1533-position model. The record is from RNAcentral.